RNAcentral lists this long non-coding RNA (206 nucleotides) under Oncorhynchus mykiss (rainbow trout). Its description in RNAcentral is "lncRNA (ENSOMYG00000054221.1)". The record is from RNAcentral. Lineage: Eukaryota; Metazoa; Chordata; Actinopteri; Salmoniformes; Salmonidae.
UCUGAAAAGAUUUGGUAGCCACAAGCGUUCUCUAGACCUAAACACUGUUAAAAGUCUUGAAAAAAGUAAACAAACUCUCCAGUAAGCCUUCACCCACCAAGACAACAGUUUUGGAGUUAACAUAGAGGAGAUAUCAAAAGAGUGGUGAGAGUGUGGUGCCUUAAGAGGACCCGUUGUGAUUCUUUGACACCACAGGACCGGGACAC